AAUAGAUCAUAAAAAAAGAGAUAAGAAAAGUGAGAACCAGAGACUUGUAUUAUCUUGUGAGCUUUGAUGAUGAAUAAAAAGCAAAGAACAAUUCUAGGACCCUCCUUUUCUUUAUACACAAUUAAACAUACCUUAUUUUGAAUAUAUUAUAUGGAAAAUAGAUAAACAAUAAUUGACAAAAGUUAACAUAAAUCACAAUAAGUCAUCGCCAAUCAAACCAAAAGAAUAUAUGGAUUCUAUAAAUAUAUGAAGACAUAUUGACAGAAUCAAUGAAAAUAUUUAGAGAAUUAAAAUCCACUAACCCCCCCUC
RNAcentral lists this long non-coding RNA (310 nucleotides) under Brassica napus (rape). RNAcentral describes it as "long non-coding RNA (BNAP_LNC023040)". The record is from RNAcentral. Lineage: Eukaryota; Viridiplantae; Streptophyta; Magnoliopsida; Brassicales; Brassicaceae.